Molecule: ribosomal RNA, 399 nt
Filed under: uncultured bacterium
Lineage: Bacteria
Description: bacterial SSU rRNA
Rfam family: Bacterial small subunit ribosomal RNA
Source: RNAcentral
GACGAACGCUGGCGGCGUGCUUAACACAUGCAAGUCGAGCGGUAAGGCCCUUUCGGGGGUACGACGAGCGGCGAACGGGUGAGUAACACGUGGGUGACCUGCCCUCAGCUCUGGGAUAAGCCUGGGAAACCGGGUCUAAUACCGGAUAUGACUCCAUGACGCAUGUUGUGGGGUGGAAAGCCUUGUGCGGCUGAGGAUGGGCCCGCGGCCUAUCAGCUUGUUGGUGGGGUGAUGGCCUACCAAGGCGACGACGGGUAGCCGGCCUGAGAGGGCGACCGGCCACACUGGGACUGAGACACGGCCCAGACUCCUACGGGAGGCAGCAGUGGGGAAUCUUGCGCAAUGGGCGAAAGCCUGACGCAGCGACGCCGCGUGAGGGAUGACGGCCUGGUGUAACUC